UCCGGCUUAACGCCGGCAGUCUCCCUAGAGUGCCCAACUUAAUGGUGGCAACUAAGGACGAGGGUUGCGCUCGUUGCGGGACUUAACCCAACACCUCACGGCACGAGCUGACGACAGCCAUGCAGCACCUCUAUGGCGGCCCCCGAAGGGGAAGGCCUAUUUCUAGACCCGUCCACCACAGUUCAAGCCCAGGUAAGGUUCUUCGCGUUGCAUCGAAUUAAACCACAUGCUCCACCGCUUGUGCGGGCCCCCGUCAAUUCCUUUGAGUUUCAGCCUUGCGGCCGUACUCCCCAGGCGGGGUGCUUAAUGCGUUAGCUUCGGCACGGAUGGGGUCGAUGUCCACCCACACCUAGCACCCAACGUUUACGGCUAGGACUAC
RNAcentral lists this unclassified non-coding RNA (379 nucleotides) under uncultured bacterium. Its description in RNAcentral is "contains 16S-23S intergenic spacer region". The record is from RNAcentral.